GGCGGACGGGUGAGUAACACGUAGGUAACCUGCCUAUAAGAUCGGGAUAACUAUCGGAAACGAUAGCUAAGACCGGAUAAUUGGUUUUCUCGCAUGAGAGAAUUAUGAAACACGGAGCAAUCUGUGGCUUAUAGAUGGGCCUGCGGCGCAUUAGCUAGUUGGUAGGGUAACGGCCUACCAAGGCGACGAUGCGUAGCCGACCUGAGAGGGUGAACGGCCACACUGGGACUGAGACACGGCCCAGACUCCUACGGGAGGCAGCAGUAGGGAAUCUUCCGCAAUGGACGCAAGUCUGACGGAGCAACGCCGCGUGAGUGAUGAAGGUUUUCGGAUCGUAAAGCUCUGUUGCCCUAGACGAACAGCAAGAAGAGUAACUGCCUUUUGUGUGACGGUAUAGGAGAAGAAAGCCCCGGCUAACUACGUGCCAGCAGCCGCGGUAAUACGUAGGGGGCAAGCGUUGUCCGGAAUUAUUGGGCGUAAA
This 481-nucleotide ribosomal RNA is filed under the name Paenibacillus alginolyticus. RNAcentral describes it as "bacterial SSU rRNA". It matches the Rfam family "Bacterial small subunit ribosomal RNA", at positions 97 to 564 of the family's 1533-position model. Lineage: Bacteria; Bacillati; Bacillota; Bacilli; Caryophanales; Paenibacillaceae. The record is from RNAcentral.